UCAAAAAAAUAAAAUAAAAAUAAAAAACAAUAAAAACUCACUGAGCAGUUGGGAAAGUUCAGGUGGAACAGGCAGUGAAUAGCAAACACGGUGGGGGCGUUCACUGUCAUGAGCGGCCAUGCCGGCCAUAGUCAGCAGACCUGUCUUCUGCUUGGCAGCAGGCAGGUUGAUAAACAUUUUCUUGGAGAGUUUCUUGAUUCUUCCCAGUUGUGGCAGGAUGGACUGACUUAGAAGAGCUCAGGAAGGUUGUUAAAGAACACAGAAAAACAAGAUGAAUUGUACUCCUUAGCAGGCCUAGGUUAGAGCAGCAUGUCCGUGAAGCCUCAGCCUAUCCUGGGACACAGCAUAAUGCCCCUAAUGAUUUGAAAUUUGGUGGAGAGUGGGUUACUAAUCCCUGUGUCCAGGGGGAAAAAGGGACAUCAAUAGCAAAAGGUUAUAAAAUAAGUGGGCCUAACAUCAGCUUAUUGCGGGGGGUAGGGAUUUAAGAUGUAAGAAUUUACCUGCAUGUGGAAGCUCACACCUGUAAUCUCAGCACUUGGGGAGGCCAACGCGAGAGGACGGCUUGAGCCCAGGAGUUUGACAUGAGCCAGGCAACAUAGUAAGUCCCCAUUCGCACAAAAAUGUUUUUGAAGAAAAGUAGUUGAGAGUGGGUACUCAUGCCUGUAGUUCCAGGUACCUGGGAGGCUGAGGCAAGAAAAUCGCUUAAGCCUGGGAGACUGAGGCUGCAGUGAGCUAUGAUCACAAUGCACACCAGCCUGUGAGUCAGGAGACCCUAGCUGGUGCCCCGAAGCUCCCCCUCCACUGGUAGAUGUCGGCUCAAGUAGGUCCUGAGGACAAGAGUCUCGGGGGUCUGGCCCUGAAGGCUCCGAAGCCCCCACUCGCACAAAGACCCCUAUUAUAUCCGCACUCCAGCCGCCAACACGACUGCCACAGAAGCCCCCGCCCAGGCGUCAAUGAACCUGUUUAAAGGGGCCGCAGCCGGAAUUGGAACAGCAAAGGCGUCGGCCUGGGCAAUACGCAUGCGCGUGGUUCUACCCCAUUCUCCUGUCACAAUGACUCCAACGGUUGGCUGAGGACAACUCCCUGAACUUUAACAGAGCAGGACCCCUCCGUGGCAGUGCCUCAGUGUCCAGACACCAGCCUGACCAAUCCAGGGGGUCGAAAAAACAGUUUCAGGACAGCCUGCUACACCGAGGGCUGACCAGGAUGGAGAAACAGCAGACAGAGAACAGGGAAAGCAGAGCGGAAUCCCAGCCUCAGGCCUCCCGGACGAUGUUCAGGUGAGCCCCCCGAAAGCCGUGCCCCCGUGAUCUCGAGACAGCUCUGCCUGUGUGCCCGUGGGCUGCUCUCUCACCUGAAGGUCGUGCUCCCGAAGAACAGAACCCCUCAGCCUCAGGGAUUGUCUGGGGGUGUGUGUUUCUCUGCCAUUGCUGUAUGUCUGUGUGCGUGCGUCUCCUCUCUUCUCUCUCUGCCUCUCACUGUCUGUCUGUUUCUCUCGCUUUCUUUGUCUCUGUGUGUGUGUGCCUGUGUGCGUGUGUGUUGGGAUGAAUGUGUCCAGGGCGCUACAAAGCAACUUCUUGCAGGAAGGCCGGUCUUUGGUGAGCCUCUUUCUGCCUCCCGGGUUGGGUCAUGUGCCGGUUGUCAAUCCUUUCCGUGGCAGUUCCACUCUGGCUUUGUGAAGGCCUCGAUAAUGUGAGCAGAUGCGUCCGUCUCAGGGAAAUUGAUUUUCAUUCCGAUCCUGAGCAGCCUCUUUUCCACGAUCAAGAUGACCACACUCCAGCCAAAAAAAGAAAAGCCUCAAAGAGCACAUUGUCCUGCAGGAGGGGAGCAGACCGAGGUGAAAGGAGAUGGUUCUAUCCCCUUGCGUCUCUUCUCAGAGGAAUGAAGAAACACCACGAAACAAUCUUAAAGAAAAAGCUGAGAACGGGAAGCGAAACCGUGUCUUUCAAAGGCACGCAAGUCUCUCAGGAUAAGCCACCUGAUUUGCACUCCUCCCCUUAUGCCUGAAGCAAUGGUUUCCAGGAGUUCUUCAAUGGUUUCCAUCUGCUCUAGGGGACGCCAGUGUCAUAUGUGGUCACAUUGGCGCCACUUCGGAAUCGCCUCUGGACCUCUUUACACGUGUGUGGAAAGCUGGAACAGCUUGCAGGAGCCCCAGGCCCUUUAUAAUCAUGGCAGCCCACUGCUCUUUCAAAGGAGGGAGGCAGAGGGCUCACGGGUCAGAGAACUUUCAGCUCACACCACGCCUUGGGGCUCAUGUGAUCAUUCUGGGCUGAAAAGAGGCCAUGCCUGCCUCAGUAGAUGUGCUCAGCAAAUCCAUUCUCCCCCGGAGGGGUCCAGAAUCGGAUCUGAUGGGGGGUUGACCCCAGCUGGCGCCCUGAAGCUGCCGCUCCGGCGGUGGAAAUCGGCUCAAGGAAGUCCUGAAGACUGGACCCCUGGGGGUUUGAACCUAGGAGGCCGCCCGCAGCCGCCUAUUGCACGCGGCCCCAUACUGAACCCCGGAUGCGGCCGCUGGCAAGGCUGCAGCAGGAGAGCCCCUGGCGCCCAGCGGCCACCUUCGUUUAAAGGGGACGCAGCCUGACUGCCGCGGAGCGCUGGUCGGCCCAGCCAAUGCGCAUGCGCGAGUGGCGAGCGGGUGCUCUUGCGUCACAGUGGUUCCCAUGGUUGUCAGAGAAACCACGCCCUGAGGCCUGGCACACAGGAGCCCUCCGCGGCGGCAGUGCUUGGGUGGCGGGGCUCCGAGGCUCCAGCCAGACCUCUCCACGGGGUCGACAGGACUGUCUCCGGAUGCCAGGAGUCGUGGCAAAGGGCUGAGCAGGAUGUUGAAAGCCCAGGCGGAGUCCGGGGGAAGCAGCGCCGCAUCCCAGCCUCAGGCCCGCCCGGACGCUGUUCGGGUCAUUGAUCUGCUUCUCAAAAAUGGCAGGGUAUAGCCAGCCACAUGGGGAAGAUGGAAUCAAGACACUUACGGCAAUAAACUAGAAUUCAGCUGGGAUUGUCCAAAACUUGGACUGAUUCUGUACCUUUCACACAGAGCUCUUUUGAAAAAAAGGGCAGGUGUCACUGCUGCACUAAAAGGGAAGGCAAGAGUGGAAGCAGGCAUGAGUAGUCAGGGACGACUGCCAUGGUCCAGGAGGAGGACAAGGGAGACCCCGCCGUUCGGAGGC
Molecule: long non-coding RNA, 3161 nt
Organism: Chlorocebus sabaeus (green monkey)
Lineage: Eukaryota; Metazoa; Chordata; Mammalia; Primates; Cercopithecidae
Source: RefSeq, a predicted model, not a curated record